AAUGAAGUGCCUGAAAAAGGAUUAUCUUGAUAGGAUAAAUCAUACACAAAUAAUUGUGUCUUCAUUA
Molecule: transfer RNA, 67 nt
Filed under: Dendroleon pantherinus
Lineage: Eukaryota; Metazoa; Arthropoda; Insecta; Neuroptera; Myrmeleontidae
Also listed under: 1 other name
Description: tRNA-Ile
Source: RNAcentral